RNAcentral lists this ribosomal RNA (423 nucleotides) under Acanthamoeba sp. RNAcentral describes it as "partial 18S ribosomal RNA". It matches the Rfam family "Eukaryotic small subunit ribosomal RNA", at positions 788 to 1109 of the family's 1831-position model. The record is from RNAcentral. Lineage: Eukaryota; Discosea; Longamoebia; Acanthamoebidae.
GGAUCCAAUUUUCUGCCACCGAAUACAUUAGCAUGGGAUAAUGGAAUAGGACCCUGUCCUCCUAAUUUCAGUUGGUUUUGGCAGCGCGAGGACUAGGGUAAUGWUUAAUAGGGAUAGUUGGGGGCAUUAAUAUUUAAUUGUCAGAGGUGAAAUUCUUGGAUUUAUGAAAGAUUAACUUCUGCGAAARCWYYUGCCAAGGAUGUUUUCAUUAAUCAAGAACGAAAGUUAGGGGAUCGAAGACGAUCAGAUACCGUCGUAGUCUUAACCAUAAACGAUGCCGACCAGCGAUUAGGAGACGUUGAAUACAAAACACCACCAUCGGUGCGGGUCGUCCUUGGCGCGGUGGKCUUCAAAAGCCAGCGCGCGGGGGGCGKUUUAKCCGGGGGGCACCGGAAAAUGACCCCCCUAGCAGCWGUGUGAAGA